GCGUCGGUGGUGCAACGGUUCAGCACUCGCCCUCGUAUAGGGUGAAAUUUGGGUUCGAGCCCCACCUGACGCA
Non-coding RNA from Parelaphostrongylus tenuis, 73 nucleotides. The record is from the annotation of a GenBank genome assembly. NCBI's taxonomy places the organism in Eukaryota, Metazoa, Nematoda, Chromadorea, Rhabditida, Metastrongylidae.